AUGCAGUCUACAGAAAUGAUUAUAGGACAAUAAAACAAAUCACAUGAAAUAAUAGGGGAGUCCAUAGGGGGUCAUCCCCACCCCCUUCAAUUUGAGAAUAUGUAUUUUAUCUUGUAAACGGUCCAGAUCCCCACCCCUAAACCAUAUAUAUUCUUGAAUGGGACGAUAAAACAAAUCAAAUGAAAUUAAAGGAAAGUCCCCGGGGGUCAUCCCCACCCCGUUCAAUUUGAGAAUGUGCUAUUAUCUUGUAAACGGUCCAGAUCCCCACCCCUAAACCAUAUAUAUUUUUGUAGGGGACAAUAAAACAAAUGAAAUGAUAUAAAAAGGAAAUUCCGAGGGGGGUCACCCCACCACCUCUUGUUUGAAAACUUGUAAACGGUCAACAUCCCCACCCCAUAACCAUAUAUAUUCUUGAAAGGGACGAUAAAACAAAUCAAAGGAAAUUAAAGGGAAGUCCCCGGGGGUCAUUCCCAACCCGUUCAAUUUGAGAAUGUGCUAUUAUCUUGUAAAAGGUCCAGAUCACCACCCCUAAACCAUAUAUAUUCUUGUAGGGGACAAAAAAACAAAUGAAAUGAUAUAAAAGGAAAGUUCUUAGGGGGUCAGCCCACCCCUUCUUGUUUGAAAACUUGUAAACGGUCAACAUCCCCACCCCUAAACCAUAUAUAUUCUUGUAUGGAACAAUAAAACUAAUCAAAUGAAAUUAAAAGGGAGUUCCUGGGAGUCACCCUUACCCCGUUCAAUUUGAGAAUGUGCUAUUAUCUUGUAAACAGUCCAGAUCCCCACCCCUAAACCAUAUAUAUUCUUGUAGGGGACAAUAAAACAAAUAAAAUAAAAUAAAAGGGAAGUCUCGAGGGGGUCACCCCACCCCCUCUUGUUUGAAAACUUGUAAACGGUCAACAUCCCCACCCCUAAACCAUAUAUUUGUUGGUAGGGGACAAUAAAACAAAUGAAAUGAAAUAAAAGGGAAGUCCUGAGGGGGUCACCCCACCCCCUCUUGUUUGAAAACUUGUAAACGGUUAACAUCAUCAACCCUAAACCAUAUAUAUUCUUGUAUGGGACAAUAAAACAAAUCAAAUGAAAUGUACGUAAAGUACCUGGGGGUCACCACCACCCCUUCCUGUUUAAAUACUUAUAAAUGGUGGAGAUCCCCACCCCUAAGCCAUAUAUAUUCUUGUAUGGGACAAAAAAAUCAAAUCAAAUGAAUAUGGGACCAUAUGAAUGGUGAGUUAUGAGAGCUUUGUUUGGGAGACUUCGUAACAGCAUCCUGUUACAAUUACUUCUUGUUUAAUACUUAUAUUUUAAA
This 1303-nucleotide long non-coding RNA is filed under the name Mytilus galloprovincialis (Mediterranean mussel). The record is from RNAcentral. Lineage: Eukaryota; Metazoa; Mollusca; Bivalvia; Mytilida; Mytilidae.